AGACCAAGGGCCUUCAAAGCCCUAAGCGGGAGUGGAAGUCUCCCAGACCCUG
This 52-nucleotide transfer RNA is filed under the name Scarus niger (dusky parrotfish). RNAcentral describes it as "tRNA-Trp". The record is from RNAcentral. Lineage: Eukaryota; Metazoa; Chordata; Actinopteri; Labriformes; Labridae.